RNAcentral lists this long non-coding RNA (1855 nucleotides) under Solanum tuberosum (potato). Its description in RNAcentral is "long non-coding RNA (STUB_LNC011363)". The record is from RNAcentral. Lineage: Eukaryota; Viridiplantae; Streptophyta; Magnoliopsida; Solanales; Solanaceae.
CCUUGCCUCCGAUUAUGACCGCAGCUGGCUCGAAUCAACGUCGGUAGCUAGUACUCGGACCUGCAUCACGAAAAUAGAUGCAGAGUGUAGUAUGAGUACCAAAACAACAGGUACCCAGUAGGCCUCAGGCCGACGGAGCAAGAUAAGUAAAAGUGAACUGAAAUGCAAAUAAAGGGUCACAAUCAAGGGUAAAAGAGUAGUAAAUGUGGGUAUGUACACGAGCAUACAGGCCACAAAGACAAGGAAUAUAACUAACUCCGCCGGGCUCCCAUAAACUCGACGGGUACGCUCGUGCACAAUAAAAGAAACCACCUGCACGGACCUCCAUAAGCCCGGCAGAUGCACCGACAGUUGAAGUAAAAUAAUGCAGCUAGAAGGUCUGUUACAAUAUUACCAAUUUUCGAACGUUAACUGAACUAUUCCUAUUUAUAUUCCAAGAUCUCAUUGCGUCCCGGACUUUAAUCGAAACAUCUCCAACCUCCAAAACCUCAACCUACAAAUGAGAGUAAUCAGGACUAAACUGAAGCUUCAGUAAGGAAUUGGGAAUGCACCACGUGCAAGCUGGACCACAGACUCGAACCGGGUACUAUAGCUAAUGAGUCAACCUAUAUGGGUUGGACCACAGACUCGAACCGGGUGCUAUAGCCAAAGGUCGGGCACGGGUGGGCUGGACCACGGACUCUAACCAGGUACUGUAGCCAAAAUCAGAUCACAGGUAAGCUCGACCACAGACUUUAACCGGGUACUGUAGCCAAAACCAGAUCACAGGUAAGCUGGACCACGGACUCUAACCGGGUACUGUAGCUAAGCCUGGACAUAAGUAAGCUGGACCACGGACUCUAACCGGGUACUGUAGCCAAAACCAGAUCACAGGUAAGCUGGACCACGGACUCUAACCGGGUACUGUAGCCAAAAUCAGAUCAUAGGUAAGCUAGACCACGGACUCUAAUAGGGUACUGUAGCCAAAAUCAGAUCACAGGUAAGCUGUACCACGGACUCUAACCGGGUACUGUAGCCAAAAUCAUAUCACAGGUAAGCUGAGUUACCGCCUAGCUAAGGCUUAGACUAUCAGACUCAAGUCUGCUAUAUCAGUCUACAAGGAGCUGACCGUCCGAAAUGACGUCGGAAAAAGUUGUACUGCUCAACGACAUCCAAAACCUCGCAAGUCUAUGGCAACACUUGUCUAAGCUGAGACUAAGGCCAAACAUACUUCAAAUCAAUAUUAUCAUAUACACCACAAGGUAUGGAUGUUCAAUAAAAUCAAGAGUCAUGUUGUCAUGAUCCAACAAUUUCCCGAAAUAAGGUCUAAGGCAGGAAUUAUAGAAAUUUAGCAUGCUCGACACCCGAACCCCUCCAUACUCAAGAAAAUCAAUAAACAAUUGCAUAAACAUGCUCAAUCUCAUGAGGGGAAGACCAUAGCCUACCUGAAAGCCGAUCACGCGUGCUCCAACUCAUGGUACCGGAGCUUUUGCCCUCCGAACGGUCUCCAAAUGCUUCCCCACUAUCAAAAGGUUAAUCACCUCGUCAUUACGAAUAUGUUGACACUACAAUUAUAUUUUUCGGAGACGGACCCAAAAUUGGGUCUAAAACGGGAUUGUGGGACCCACAAUUGAAAUCCGGAAAACGAAUCCGUGAAAACGUCCCAAAUACUUUACUAAACUAAUACCCCAAAAUUUAGCACAAAAAGAAGCCUAAAACAUAGCAAAUCAGUCCCAACAAUUAAAAUCAUUAAUAAGUCUAGACUUACGACUUGGCAGCCCCUUGAUCACCGAUUUAUGGAAAAACGAGACCCUUCCAACCAUAACAGAUUAUACCACGACGAUCCUUGUGGAAAACUCUACAAUUGAGCCUCAAG